UGCGGGUCACCGCCCAGACCAGUCCUGGAGCGCGCCAGCUGCAGCCUACGCAAUCUCCAGGAAGCUGCUGUUGAGAGAAACAGAAGCCAUUCUCCUCAGCUCCCUGCAUCCCGCCCGGGAAAACGCAGGGCCAGAGGUGAAGGCGGAGCCUCCUCUGGGGGGUGCAGGAUUUCUUGGAGCACAAAGUGCCCUUGAACUCAAACGGUGGCUGAAGGUGACUGACUGCUGAUCCCCCUGCCUCCACCCUCCUGGUGCUGAGAUCAUCAUCCACACCCGACUUAGGACGUGGUGGAGAUCCGCUCCGAGGGCUUCCUGCUAGACAAGCACCCUAGCAACUGAGCUGCAUCCAAAUCCUGCUGGCUACUCCAAUCGCUGACCGCUGACCGACCGGGGCUGCCCCUUGGAGCUUCCGGGAAGUCCGAUUAGAGUGUCCCUCAUACCUCCCUGCCUAACACUAUCCUCCAUCCACUUAGGACGCCUGAAAUUCACAGUUCCCCACAAAAUCACUUUUAAAAAUAGAAAGAGAGAGAGGAGAAAGGAAGAAAUGUCGGUGUGCUGGCGCCUCAGGAACUAUGGAAUCAACAACUGUGAUUAUUUCCAAAGCCUACACUCACCACCUCCUCUCACCAUACAUAUGCAAUGCAUCAUUGAAAUGGUCAAAGGGAAUAAGACCAUACAGACUUCAGGGAGUUAAUUACUGAUGGUGGUUUGAAUUACGUGGUCUCCAUAGGCUUAUAAGGAGUAGCAUUGUUUGAAAGGAUUGGGACAAAUGGCCUUGGUAAAAUAGGUAUACCUUUGGAAGAGGAGGUACUUCACUAGGGCUGGGCUUUGAGGAUUCAGAAGCUCCAGCCAGACCCCGUGGCUUACUUGCUCUUCAUGCUGUCUGCUGAUCCAGAUGUAGAGCUCCCAGCAAAUCUCCAGCACCAUGUCUGCCUGCAUGCCACCGUGCUUCCUGCCAUGACGAUGAUAAUGAACUAAACCUCUAAACUAUAAGCCAGCCCCAGAUAAAUGUUUUCCUUUGUAA
Psammomys obesus (fat sand rat) is the source of this 1024-nucleotide long non-coding RNA. RefSeq lists it as uncharacterized. Lineage: Eukaryota; Metazoa; Chordata; Mammalia; Rodentia; Muridae. The record is from RefSeq and is a predicted model, not a curated record. The transcript is spliced from 3 exons.